Molecule: transfer RNA, 70 nt
Filed under: Alosa alosa (allis shad)
Lineage: Eukaryota; Metazoa; Chordata; Actinopteri; Clupeiformes; Clupeidae
Description: tRNA-OTHER
Source: RNAcentral
GCUUGUGUAGCUCAGCGGGUAGAUGAAUGGACUGGCAACACAAAGGUCAGAGGUUCGAAUCCCACCAGCA